UGCGUAGGCGGGGCAAUUAGUCAGUGGUGAAAUCCUGCGGCUUAACCGUAGAACUGCCAUUGAUACUGUUGCCCUUGAGUAUAGUUGAAGUGGGCGGAAUAUGUAAUGUAGCGGUGAAAUGCAUAGAGAUUACAUAGAACACCAAUUGCGAAGGCAGCUCACUAAGCUAUCACUGACGCUGAGGCACGGAAGCGUGGGGAGCGAACAGGAUUAGAUACCCUGGUAGUCC
Molecule: ribosomal RNA, 229 nt
Filed under: uncultured bacterium
Lineage: Bacteria
Description: partial 16S ribosomal RNA
Rfam family: Bacterial small subunit ribosomal RNA
Source: RNAcentral